This 345-nucleotide unclassified non-coding RNA is filed under the name soil metagenome. Its description in RNAcentral is "partial contains 5.8S ribosomal RNA, internal transcribed spacer 2, and large subunit ribosomal RNA". The stretch from base 1 to 120 matches the Rfam family "5.8S ribosomal RNA", at positions 35 to 154 of the family's 154-position model. The record is from RNAcentral.
GAUGAAGAACGUAGCGAAAUGCGAUAAGUAAUGUGAAUUGCAGAACUCAGUGAAUCAUCGAGUCUUUGAACGCACAUUGCGCCCCCUGGUAUUCCGGGGGGCAUGCCUGUCCGAGCGUCAUUGCUGCCCUCAAGCACGGCUUGUGUGUUGGGCCUCCGUCCUCCUCCCGGGGGACGGGCCCGAAAGGCAGCGGCGGCACCGCGUCCGGUCCUCGAGCGUAUGGGGCUUCGUCACCCGCUCUUGUAGGCCCGGUCGGCGCUUGCCGACACAUCAAUCUUUUUUCCAGGUUGACCUCGGAUCAGGUAGGGAUACCCGCUGAACUUAAGCAUAUCAAUAAGCGGAGGA